AGUGGUCCUUGCUGAAGCUGGAGCUGCAUCUGCAAAGAGGCAACAAGUUUGAGCCUUAUUUUCCUUCUGCUGUUAAAUGCUACUUUGGGUGGACAGAAGGAAUUGCAGCAGUUUUUUGCUUUGGAGCACAUGUUGUCCAAGUUGCUGAGAAUCAAGGUACAAAAAUGCUCUGAAGCUCACAAAACACUGACCUGCUGCUCUAAAACCACAAGGAGCUGAAGCAAGUGCUGCCAUGCAGAGAUAGCCCCAAAGACCUGGAGCUGCUCCUGACUUACAUGUGGAACUCCCGACUGUGAACGUUUUUUCAGACUGUGCAUUCUAGAUCGCUCCACAUUAUGGCCCAUGAGUCACACAACGAAAUGUCUAACAGGACAUUUGUGUUAUGUCUACAGCAGAAAAAAGACCUCAGUGGUUUCACAUGAGAAAGUUGAAUCCUAAAUGUGGGUGGAAAAAAAGUAAAGAAAAGGGAUAAAAAGAUACCACCAGAUAAAUAUAAUACAUGUAUUCUUUUCCUGUAAAAGAUUUACUUAUGCAAAUAAAC
Molecule: long non-coding RNA, 541 nt
Filed under: Junco hyemalis (dark-eyed junco)
Lineage: Eukaryota; Metazoa; Chordata; Aves; Passeriformes; Passerellidae
Description: lncRNA (ENSJHYG00000002973.1)
Source: RNAcentral